UAAACUAGGAUUAGAUACCCUAUUAUUUUAAAUGUCAAUUUUUAAUACUAAGUUAAUAAUAGUUAUGUUCUUUAAAAUUAAAAAAUUUGGCGGUAUUUUAGUCUUUUCAGAGGAACCUGUCCUGUAAUUGAUAGUCCACGAUAAUAUAUAUUUUAUUUAUUAAUUUACAUAUCAUCGUAGUUUGAAUAUUUUAGUAGAAAUUUAAUAUUCUGAAUUUUUUAUUAAAAAAUAAAUCAGAUCAAGGUGUAGUUUAUAAUAAAAUAGAGAUGGGUUACAAUAAAUUUAUUUAUGGAUAUCUUUUUUUAAAAAAGUUUGAAUUUGGAUUUGAGAGUAAUUUUAUACAUUUAUAUAAAAUGAUUUUAGCUCUAAAAUAUGCACACAUCGCCCGUCGCUCUUAA
This 398-nucleotide ribosomal RNA is filed under the name Bruchidius sokokensis. RNAcentral describes it as "partial 12S ribosomal RNA". Lineage: Eukaryota; Metazoa; Arthropoda; Insecta; Coleoptera; Chrysomelidae. The record is from RNAcentral.